RNAcentral lists this ribosomal RNA (253 nucleotides) under uncultured bacterium. Its description in RNAcentral is "partial 16S ribosomal RNA". It matches the Rfam family "Bacterial small subunit ribosomal RNA", at positions 524 to 776 of the family's 1533-position model. The record is from RNAcentral.
UACGUAGGGGGCUAGCGUUGUCCGGAUUUAUUGGGCGUAAAGAGCGUGUAGGCGGCCAAGUAGGUCCGGUGUGAAAACUCGAGGCUUAACCUCGAGAUGUCAUCGGAAACCAUUUGGCUAGAGUCCGGAAGAGGAAAGUGGAAUUCCUGGUGUAGCGGUGAAAUGCGCAGAUAUCUGGAGGAACACCGGUGGCGAAGGCGGCAUCCUGGACCAUUACUGACGCUGAUCCGCGAAAGCUAGGGGAGCAAACGGG